RNAcentral lists this non-coding RNA (45 nucleotides) under Echinostoma caproni. The record is from RNAcentral. Lineage: Eukaryota; Metazoa; Platyhelminthes; Trematoda; Plagiorchiida; Echinostomatidae.
GCUCUGCUGAUGAGUCCCAAACAGGACGAAACAGCUGUCCAGUGU